This is a long non-coding RNA of Haemorhous mexicanus (house finch), 1161 nucleotides long. RefSeq lists it as uncharacterized. The transcript is spliced from 2 exons. NCBI's taxonomy places the organism in Eukaryota, Metazoa, Chordata, Aves, Passeriformes, Fringillidae. The record is from RefSeq and is a predicted model, not a curated record.
AAACCCUCCCAAACUCUCCCAGCCCUGCAGCACCCACGUGGGGGCCAGGCCUGAUGGACAAUUAAUAUUUUUAUCUGCUCCAUGUAUCAAAGCAACGGCGGGGGGGGAAGGAAAUACUCCUAAUUAGCCAAGUGCUCAGGGCGCUGAGCAAUCACGUCCCUCCCAUUUCCAGAGAAACCCAAUUUAGACUUUAAAAGCCCCCGCUCCCCGUUUCUCCUCAGUGUCUCAGCUCCUCAGCGUCUCCUCUCGAGCUCCUUCCGAUCCAGGUCUCCAACCAUGUCCUCCCGCCAGGACGAGGAACGGUCCUCCCAGCACAGCGGGGAAUCCCGUUGUGUCUGGGGCAUUGGCAGACCUGGUAGCCCCGGGAGAGGCAGCAGACCUGGUAGCCCCGGGAGAGGCGGCAGACCUGGUAGCCCCGGGAGAGGUGGCAGACCUGGUAGCCCCGGGAGAGGCGGCAGACCUGGUAGCCCCGGGAGAGGCAGCAGACCUGGUAGCCCCGGGAGAGGUGGCAGACCUGGUAGCCCCGGGAGAGGUGGCAGACCUGGUAGCCCUGGGAGAGGCGGCAAACCUGCUAGCCCCGGGAGCGGUGGCGGAUCUGGUAGCCCCGGGAGAGGUGGCGGAUCCAGUAGCCGUGGGAGAGGUGGUGGAUCUGGUAGCCAGGCGAGCGGUGGUGGAUCUGGUAGCCACACGAGCAGUGGUGGAUCUGGUAGCCAGGCGAGCAGUGGUGGAUCUGGUAGCCACACGAGCAGUGGCGGACCCGUUAGCCACGCAGACAGCGGCGGCUCCGUUAGCCACGCGAGCAGCGGCGGAGCUGGUUGUCAUAUGAGCAAUAGCGGAUUCAAUUUCCACGGGGGCAUAUCUGGCAGCCACGGGAGCAGCGGAUCCGGAUUCCACGGGGCCAGCAUAGCAUCCUGCCAUGGAAACACGGAGGUGUGCCUCCAGCACAUCCACCGAAAACCCUCCGAUGACAAGUGAUCACCCCACCAGCUGCAGGUGAUCCACAGGAGUGCCCUGGAUCCUGUGCCACCUUCCGAAAGCUUUGCAUGUGCCCAGGAAUUUCCAAUUUCCAAGGACAAUGUGUCCUUCCCUCCCCUGGUGUGUCCUGUAACCCGUCCUGAGCUUGUCUGUGGGUGCUGAAAUAAACGCUUUGCUCAGCUGGCA